UACGUAGGGUGCGAGCGUUGUCCGGAUUUAUUGGGCGUAAAGAGCUCGUAGGCGGUCUGUCACGUCGGCUGUGAAAACCCGGAGCUCAACUCCGGGCCUGCAGUCGAUACGGGCAGACUGGAGUUCGGCAGGGGAGACUGGAAUUCCUGGUGUAGCGGUGAAAUGCGCAGAUAUCAGGAGGAACACCGGUGGCGAAGGCGGGUCUCUGGGCCGAUACUGACGCUGAGGAGCGAAAGCGUGGGGAGCGAACAGG
RNAcentral lists this ribosomal RNA (253 nucleotides) under uncultured bacterium. Its description in RNAcentral is "partial 16S ribosomal RNA". It matches the Rfam family "Bacterial small subunit ribosomal RNA", at positions 524 to 776 of the family's 1533-position model. The record is from RNAcentral.